This 384-nucleotide unclassified non-coding RNA is filed under the name uncultured Phycisphaeraceae bacterium. Its description in RNAcentral is "contains 16S-23S intergenic spacer region". The record is from RNAcentral. Lineage: Bacteria; Pseudomonadati; Planctomycetota; Phycisphaerae; Phycisphaerales; Phycisphaeraceae.
UCCGACUUGACGCCGGCAGUCUCGCUAGAGUCCUCAGCAUAACCUGUUAGCAACUAGCGACAGGGGUUUCGCUCGUUAAGGGACUUAACCCGACACUUCACAGCACGAGCUGACGACAGCCAUGCAGCACCUGUGCACGUUCCACCCGAAGGUGUGGCCCGGCUUUCACCGGGUUAAUCCGUGCAUGUCAAACCCAGGAUAAGGUUCUUCGCGUUGCUUCGAAUUAAGCCACAUGCUCCACCGCUUGUGUGAGCCCCCGUCAAUUCCUUUGAGUUUUAGCCUUGCGACCGUACUCCCCAGGCGGUGCACUAAACACUUUUGCUUCGAUUCGGAAGGUGUCAGAACCACCCGAAUCUAGUGCACAUCGUUUACGGCGUGGACUAC